RNAcentral lists this ribosomal RNA (849 nucleotides) under uncultured soil archaeon. RNAcentral describes it as "bacterial SSU rRNA". It matches the Rfam family "Archaeal small subunit ribosomal RNA", at positions 21 to 866 of the family's 1478-position model. The record is from RNAcentral.
AGGUCACUGCUAUCGGUGUUCCAUUAAGCCAUGCGAGUCGUGAGGGGUAAAGCCCUCGGCGGAGUGCUCAGUAACACGUGGACAACCUACCCAAGAGUCAGGGAUAACCCCGGGAAACUGGGGAUAAUACCUGAUAGGCCAUGACAUCUGGAAUCGAGUUGUGGUUUAAACGUAAGGCUCUUGGAUGGGUCUGCGGCGGAUUAGGUUGUUGCCGGUGUAACGUACCAGCAAGCCUGUAAUCCGUACGGGUUGUGGGAACAAGAGCCCGGAGAUGGAUUCUGAGACACGAAUCCCGGCCCUACGGGGCGCAACAGGCGCGAAAACUCUACAAUGCAAGCCACUGCGAUUGGGGAACAUCGAGUGGCAUCCACCAUGGAUGUCUGUCCAAUCGUCUAAAAAACGAUUGUCAGCAAGGGCCGGGCAAGACCGGUGCCAGCCGCCGCGGUAAUACCGGCGGCUCGAGUGGUGGCCGAUAUUAUUGAGUCUAAAGGGUCCGUAGCCGGCUUUGCAAGUCCUAUGGGAAAUCCAGCGGCUUAACCGUUGGGCUUUCAUGGGGAUACUACAUUGCUUGGGACUGGGGAGAGGUAGGAGGUACUCAGGGGGUAGGGGUGAAAUCCUGUAAUCCUUUGGGGACCACCGGUGGCGAAGGCGUCCUACCAGAACAGGUCCUACGGUGANGGACGAAAGCUAGGGGCACGAACCGGAUUAGAUACCCGGGUAGUCCUAUCCGUAGACCAAUGCUCGCUAGGUGUCCCGGCAGUCGUGAAUAUGUCGUGAUGCCGGAGGGGAAGUCCGUGAAGCGAGACACAUGGGUACGUACGACCGCAUGCUCGAUAACUUACACGAAUU